Molecule: non-coding RNA, 125 nt
Organism: Zea mays
Lineage: Eukaryota; Viridiplantae; Streptophyta; Magnoliopsida; Poales; Poaceae
Source: RefSeq, marked provisional
CGAGUGGACCUCGGGAGCGAUGACAGAAGAGAGAGAGCACAACCCAGCACCAGCGAGGAAAAGCCUCGCUUCUGCGAGGGCCGUGUGCUCUCUGCUCUCACUGUCAUCGCCCACAGGCCACCGAA